RNAcentral lists this ribosomal RNA (466 nucleotides) under uncultured bacterium. RNAcentral describes it as "partial 16S ribosomal RNA". It matches the Rfam family "Bacterial small subunit ribosomal RNA", at positions 29 to 506 of the family's 1533-position model. The record is from RNAcentral.
ACGAACGCUGGCGGCGUGCUUCACACCUGCAAGUCGAACGGAAAGGCCCUGCUUUUGUGGGGUGCUCGAGUGGCGAACGGGUGAGUAACACGUGAGUAACCUGCCCUUGACUUUGGGAUAACUUCAGGAAACUGGGGCUAAUACCGGAUAGGAGCUCCUGCUGCAUGGUGGGGGUUGGAAAGUUUCGGCGGUUGGGGAUGGACUCGCGGCUUAUCAGCUUGUUGGUGGGGUAGUGGCUUACCAAGGCUUUGACGGGUAGCCGGCCUGAGAGGGUGACCGGCCACAUUGGGACUGAGAUACGGCCCAGACUCCUACGGGAGGCAGCAGUGGGGAAUAUUGCACAAUGGGCGGAAGCCGGAUGCAGCAACGCCGCGUGCGGGAUGACGGCCUUCGGGUUGUAAACCGCUUUCGCCUGUGACGAAGCGUGAGUGACGGUAAUGGGUAAAGAAGCACCGGCUAACUACGU